Molecule: ribosomal RNA, 429 nt
Filed under: Chloroflexota bacterium
Lineage: Bacteria; Bacillati; Chloroflexota
Description: Chloroflexi bacterium partial 16S ribosomal RNA
Rfam family: Bacterial small subunit ribosomal RNA
Source: RNAcentral
UGGGGAAUAUUGCACAAUGGGCGCAAGCCUGAUGCAGCCAUGCCGCGUGUGUGAAGAAGGCCUUCGGGUUGUAAAGCACUUUCAGCGGGGAGGAAGGCGAUAAGGUUAAUAACCUUGUCGAUUGACGUUACCCGCAGAAGAAGCACCGGCUAACUCCGUGCCAGCAGCCGCGGUAAUACGGAGGGUGCAAGCGUUAAUCGGAAUUACUGGGCGUAAAGCGCACGCAGGCGGUCUGUCAAGUCGGAUGUGAAAUCCCCGGGCUCAACCUGGGAACUGCAUUCGAAAGUGGCAGGCUAGAGUCUUGUAGAGGGGGGUAGAAUUCCAGGUGUAGCGGUGAAAUGCGUAGAGAUCUGGAGGAAUACCGGUGGCGAAGGCGGCCCCCUGGACAAAGACUGACGCUCAGGUGCGAAAGCGUGGGGAGCAAACAGG